Molecule: long non-coding RNA, 1011 nt
Filed under: Takifugu rubripes (torafugu)
Lineage: Eukaryota; Metazoa; Chordata; Actinopteri; Tetraodontiformes; Tetraodontidae
Description: lncRNA (ENSTRUG00000032762.1)
Source: RNAcentral
AGUAAGGUUGUCAGACUUCAUGCCCUGACAAUUGACUGUCAUUGAAGGAAUGAACUGGCCCCGGAGCACUGUAAUAUUUGUGUCUUGAAUUGAUUCGAUUUGCUAAAUACAUUUUGACAUUGGCAUUUUUCUUCUUGUAGUCUUCAUUCAGAGAACACGCGGAUUGGCAGUGACACACGUGAGACUAUUGCGAUCCAACAAGGAGGAGGUGUCUGCAUGGGUAAGUGUGAGUGCACGCAUCAUUUAGCCGCAACUAUUACGUCGGCAAUAUUGUAUACAGUGAUCCCUCGCUAUAUCGCGGUUCAUCUUUCGCGGCUUCGCUGCUUCGCGGAUUUUUUUUUAUUUUUUUACAGUGCCUCUGAAUCCUGAUUGGCUCAGGGGCUUUACUGUUGUCUAGAAAUAAAAUAUUGACGCUGUACUGUAUUGAUUUUUCACUUGUCAACAGUUUUCGUUUCUGUGCAUUCUGCCAACUUUACGUUUGCACUUGGUCGCUUAGCAACCAUGGUGAGAAUGGCCACUGAACUUCAGCGCACGGCACAAGAAUGGGACCCUUUGAUGAGUCGUUCAUUGCAGUUCUCAAAUAUAAUUGAAGGUGGCAUAUCCGUUUAUAAAAAUCUUCUUGCCCAGAAAAAGAAAGAGCGCCAACAACUGCCUAUAACAAUGUUCUUCUCUCGGAGAAAGACUCCUGCGCCUAGAAACAGACGCUCCAGCGGAGCGGAGUCAGGACGAAGAGGCACAGCUGGGACUGGGAAAUACGCGAGUGACAAUGUUUCCAACCUUGUACAGUAUUACUAUAUUAAAAUUAUUGUUUUAAACAAAGUUUGGUCUUUAAAACAGGUUUUGAUGUUUGGUUUCAUUCUACUGUUCAGUAUUGCAUUGUAAAAUAAUUUAAAAAAAUAAAGUUGCUACUUCGCGGAUUUCACUUUUCGCGUGUUAGUUUUGGAACGCAACUCCCGCGAUAAACGAGGGAUCACUGUAUACCGUAUUUUCACGACUAUAAGAUGCACCUAA